AUUCGGCGAGACUUCGAUGAAACAGUGGUAAAAUAUGAUGAUUUCGAUGAUGAGAGCAAGAGAUUUUUUAUAUCCUCUUUCUCCUUUUGCGUUUUUCUUUUUCCUUUUCUUUUUUCCCUUUUUUCUUUUCCAUUUUUCAUUUAGUCUUUUUCUUUUCCCCUUUACCAUUUUGUGUUUUCUGUUUUGUUAAUUAUUUUUUGGAUUAUUGUCAGUGAAAAGUGUGGGUGACAACUCCAUAUAGUUUUAUAGAAUGCUAAUUUUUGUAAAUUUUCAUGUGGUUGAUUCAAU
RNAcentral lists this long non-coding RNA (288 nucleotides) under Vigna radiata. Its description in RNAcentral is "long non-coding RNA (VRAD_LNC007250)". Lineage: Eukaryota; Viridiplantae; Streptophyta; Magnoliopsida; Fabales; Fabaceae. The record is from RNAcentral.